GUUUUGAAUCAGAGGAUGGAAAAUGUAAUUGCAGAGAGAAGUCAAACAUCUUUAACCUUUAAAGGGGACAUGUCCUUCAUUUAUUCAGUGAGCACUUGCUGAGUGAGGCACUGGGAUUUGAUGAAGCCUGAGGGCCCUGCCCUCAAGGCACUCACAGUCUGCUGGAAAGGAUAAGAACAUGGAUGUGUAUAGGGAACUUGAAAAAGCUGUCCUGGAAUUUGGAGCUGAUUCAGCUAAAUGCCAUCACAUUUUGGGAACAGAAUGACGAAGGUCAACACAACAGAGCGAGUCUCUGCAGGAGGACUACCUGAAGGGAUGACUCGGAGCUGGAGGAAGGGCCAAGCCUGACUAAUGAGUCAAGGUGGCCAGAGCUGACUACCUGUAGAAAGGCAAGGUGUGUCCCAGCUGAGGCCAGAAGGGCCUUGGCCGGAGAAGCUGGCUCCCCUGGGAUAGGCCGGCGAGAGAAAGACGCCGAUGUUGGCUGCACAAGGACUGCAGUCACCAGAGAGUAGGUCCAAAGCAGGGCAGGGAAGGUUCUCCAAAUGCUGCCCCAGCUGUACAAACUGUCCCUCAACCCAUCCAAUUUCCAUGCUCACCUAGCAACACUCAUAUUUUUCUAAAAUAAUUUUUAUUACAAAACAGUACAUGCUUAUAAAAUAAAAAAUAAAAAAUGCAUAAAGUAGAAAAAAGGAAUAAAAAUCAUCCAUGCCUUCACCACUCAUGAUUACAUUUGGGAGUAUUUUAUUUCAGCCUUUUUCAUAUACUAAUAAUCAGAUGGUACCCAUUACUUUAACUGAUGUCUUUUAUCCAAGCACAUUUUCCCUUUAUAAACCCUUUGCAAUCACCAUAUUUUUGGAAUGUAUAACAGUCAUUGAGUAAAAUCCACCCAUCCAUCCAUCCGUCCAUUCAUCCAUCCAUCCAUCCACCCAUCCAUCCAUCCACCCAUCUGUCCAUCCAUCCAUCCAUCUAUGUCACUUCCCCUUCAUAGACUAUAUUCUACACAGAAAAUAAAAAUAUGUCAAUGGCUGUCCUCCAAGGGUUGGCUAUUUUGGCUGUUUCUAGGCUUUCACUAUUAUAAAUAAUCUUGCCAGAAAUAACUUGGUACAUAAAGCUUUUUCAAUAUUCAAAUUAUUUCCUUAGAAGACAGUCUUAGACGUGACAUUAUUAGAUCAAAGGGUUUGCAUAUAUUUAAGUCUCACGAUAAGGCCAGGAUGCUUUCCAAAUGUAUGGCAAUGAUGUACCCUACAGCAGGCGGCCUGUGAUCAAGCCCAUUUCUAUGCAUCCUUACAAGCAUUGAGUAGUCUAAUUUUAAAAUAGCUCUGCUAAUUUUCAAUGAUCAGUUGAAGGCAAUCAGUGGUAUCUUAAAUAGGAAAGGAUCCAUCCUGGGGUAUUAGGUCCUGGGACAGCUCUAUCCUUCAGUUUGAGUGGUUAUGCUGCUAUCUGGUUGAUUACUAGCCUGUUAUCAUUUUACUGUGUGUUAGCCAGGCCCCUGGGCAAGAGGAUGAUAUGCAGUUCCAGGGUCAGCUGUGCUGAGGCCCAGACCCAGACAUUUAAAGGCCAAAUAAUCCAGCCAGGCAUCACUUUGAUUUCUCUUAAUUGCAAUCCUUUCUGGAGAAACAGAUUUGAUAGAAGGAAGGAAGAAUAUGAAGGUGCCAGCCACUGGGGAGGGCCAUUGUCAACCACACAACAUCUAUUCUACUCCUGUCUUCUUCCCACUAGCAGAGCUGCAGUUUGUUUAGGCAAUUGCAUGGAUUCACUGAUCUCAGGGAAGGAAAGCCCCAACCCCAGUCCUAGGGGACGAAUCACGAUUGGACUAAAGCAAGCAUAAUAAUAUAAUCCCCGCUGGCCAUUCAUUGGUGACUGCGGUCUUGGCCAAAGCAGUGUCAGAAAAAAUUGGCUGUGUGGGACAGACUCAGCUGGCCUCCUGCCUGGGAUGCAAAUGGAAUGCCAGGGGUAUAGCAGCCACCUUGUGACUAUGUGUUGAUGAACGUUAGGACAAAAGCCAACACACUAAGAACGGCUGAACAGAAAAACAGAUAGAGCCUGUGUCCCUGAACAGCUGAUUCACUCCUCAACUGCCUCUUCUCAGACUUCUUGUUACGUAGAAAAAUAAACCUUAUAUUUGUUUGUACCACUUUGGUUGCCUUUUUGUUUACUUGCAUUUUAAUGGAUUCCUGGUAUUUGUCAGGACAGGUGAUGCUAGCUUCUAUAACAAACGCUUUCCAAUCUCAAUUGCUAAACACAGUAAAGUUUUAAGUCUCACACGCAUCACAGUCUGAGGAGGGUCCAGGCAAUGACUCAGGGAUCUAGGCGCCUUACAUCUUAUGACUUUAUCUUUUUCAACACAGGGUCUCUGGGGUUGCCAUGGACAACCAUGCACAUGAUUUUAUGGCCAAUCCUGUAAAUAGUAUGCAUCACUUCUGUUGACAUCUCUUUGGCCAAG
This 2443-nucleotide long non-coding RNA is filed under the name Homo sapiens (human). RNAcentral's name for it is "HSALNT0169485". Lineage: Eukaryota; Metazoa; Chordata; Mammalia; Primates; Hominidae. The record is from RNAcentral.